RNAcentral lists this ribosomal RNA (446 nucleotides) under uncultured soil bacterium. RNAcentral's name for it is "bacterial SSU rRNA". It matches the Rfam family "Bacterial small subunit ribosomal RNA", at positions 26 to 518 of the family's 1533-position model. The record is from RNAcentral.
AGGAUGAACGCUGGCGGUAUGCUUUACACAUGCAAGUCGAACGCAAGUUUUUAACUUGAGUGGCGGACGGGUGAGUAACACGUGAGAAUUCGCCUUUAGGCGGGGAAUAACUAUGGGAAACCAUAGCUAAUGCCCCAUAUGCUCGCAAGAGUGAAAGGAGCAAUCCACCCAAAGAGAAGCUCGCGGCUGAUUAGCUAGUUGGUGGGGUAAAGGCCUACCAAGGCGACGAUCCAUAGCUGGUCUGAGAGGAUGAUCAGCCACAUUGGGACUGAGACACGGCCCAAACUCCUACGGGAGGCAGCAGUGGGGAAUAUUGGACAAUGGGCGCAAGCCUGAUCCAGCCAUGCCGCGUGAGUGAUGAAGGCCCUAGGGUUGUAAAGCUCUUUCACCGGUGAAGAUAAUGACGUAACCGGAGAAGAAGCCCGCUAACUCGUGCCAGCAGCCGC